Molecule: ribosomal RNA, 233 nt
Filed under: uncultured bacterium
Lineage: Bacteria
Description: partial 16S ribosomal RNA
Rfam family: Bacterial small subunit ribosomal RNA
Source: RNAcentral
UGAGUAACCUGCCCUUAACUCUGGGAUAAGCCUGGGAAACUGGGUCUAAUACCGGAUAUGACUCCUCAUCGCAUGGUGGGGGGUGGAAAGCUUUUUGUGGUUUUGGAUGGACUCGCGGCCUAUCAGCUUGUUGGUGAGGUAAUGGCUCACCAAGGCGACGACGGGUAGCCGGCCUGAGAGGGUGACCGGUCACACUGGGACUGAGACACGGCCCAGACUCCUACGGGAGGCAG